This 426-nucleotide ribosomal RNA is filed under the name uncultured bacterium. RNAcentral describes it as "bacterial SSU rRNA". It matches the Rfam family "Bacterial small subunit ribosomal RNA", at positions 356 to 773 of the family's 1533-position model. The record is from RNAcentral.
GGGGAAUCUUGCGCAAUGGACGAAAGUCUGACGCAGCCACGCCGCGUGAGUGAAGAAGGCCUUCGGGUUGUAAAGCUCUGUCGAACGGAACGAAAAUGGCGGUAGUUAAUAGCUAUCGCAACUGACGGUACCGUGAAAGGAAGCACCGGCUAACUCUGUGCCAGCAGCCGCGGUAAUACAGAGGGUGCAAGCGUUGCUCGGAAUUAUUGGGCGUAAAGGGUGGGUAGGUUGUCUCGUUUGUCGAAGGUGAAAGCCCCGGGCUUAACCUGGGAAGUGCCUUGGAAACGGCGAGACUAGAGUUCUGGAGAGGGUCGUGGAAUUCCCGGUGUAGCGGUGAAAUGCGUAGAGAUCGGGAGGAACAUCAGAGGCGAAAGCGGCGACCUGGACAGAUACUGACACUCAGCCACGAAAGCGUGGGGAUCAAAC